RNAcentral lists this transfer RNA (94 nucleotides) under Xylaria digitata. RNAcentral describes it as "tRNA-Phe". It matches the Rfam family "tRNA". Rfam says of the family: Transfer RNA (tRNA) molecules are approximately 80 nucleotides in length. Their secondary structure includes four short double-helical elements and three loops (D, anti-codon, and T loops). The record is from RNAcentral. RNAcentral also lists the same sequence under 1 other name. Lineage: Eukaryota; Fungi; Ascomycota; Sordariomycetes; Xylariales; Xylariaceae.
GCGGGGAUAGCUCAGUUGGGAGAGCGUCAGACUGAAGUUCCAACUUCAUUCUUCAUUAAUCUGAAGGUCGUGUGUUCGAUCCACACUCACCGCA